RNAcentral lists this long non-coding RNA (825 nucleotides) under Homo sapiens (human). RNAcentral's name for it is "HSALNT0406304". The record is from RNAcentral. Lineage: Eukaryota; Metazoa; Chordata; Mammalia; Primates; Hominidae.
ACAGAUUUGAUCUCCAGGACUUGAGCACAGUCUCCUCUGAAGUUGAAGUAGGCACGACUUGUCUGCUUUUAUCUGCCAUGUUCAAAAUCUGUCAUUGAAGUACUAAAUUCACUGCCCGCAGAACACGCUGAGAUUUUACAUGUGUAUGUAGACCCAAGCUGGGUUCUGGAUCUUUGCUUCUAAAAUGGACAUGUCUGGUCAAUGCAUUAGUUAUGCCUGGAAUUCCCCUUGACAUUGAAAGGUGGUCAUGUCACCUCAUCUUUCAGUCUCAGUUUUUGUUUUUGUUUUUUUUUUUAGUUUUAAAAUGUCCACUUUAUUCCAUAUAACACUUAACCAGAUAUCAUUUACAUCUGAGGAAGAGAUGGCCCAUGAGACUGAUCUAUAGUAAAACACUCUAAGAAAUGCAGUCCAAUUUUAUACAUUUCCAGGCAUCCCUAGACAAGUGUGUCACAAUGCACAAUGCGGAAAUAUACGUAUCACUACUACAUUUUACAUAAAAGGGAAGUAUCAAUAAACUUUAGAAAGUAGUAAAUUCACCUGUCCCUUAAAAUAUGGGUAUGCAAUUGUUACAAAGCCAUAGUAAAUGGUUUAUAAAAUGUACUUUUAUUUUAUGUUACUCUGCUGUUACAUAGGGCAUAACAUUUUCACAAGGCUUUUUUGGGACUACAGUCAAUGAUUAGCAACACACAGUAGUGGUCCAACUCUCUAAAUAACAAUCACUAGACAAACUGGACACCCUCUCACAUGUGCACAAAUCUGCAUGGAAAAGUACUAAAGUUUUAGACUUGGACUUGCCACCUUCUUUUUUUUUUUUUCUUUUUUUUU